This 51-nucleotide transfer RNA is filed under the name Kryptoperidinium triquetrum. Its description in RNAcentral is "Heterocapsa triquetra partial Selenocysteine transfer RNA". The record is from RNAcentral. Lineage: Eukaryota; Dinophyceae; Peridiniales; Kryptoperidiniaceae.
GCCGGCUGGUCGCUGCCCUGGCCUGGCUUCAAAUUCGGAGCUGGCCGGUCG